RNAcentral lists this ribosomal RNA (2908 nucleotides) under Yersinia rohdei. RNAcentral describes it as "bacterial LSU rRNA". It matches the Rfam family "Bacterial large subunit ribosomal RNA". Lineage: Bacteria; Pseudomonadati; Pseudomonadota; Gammaproteobacteria; Enterobacterales; Yersiniaceae. The record is from RNAcentral.
UUAAGCGACUAAGCGUACACGGUGGAUGCCUAGGCAGUCAGAGGCGAUGAAGGGCGUGCUAAUCUGCGAUAAGCGUCGGUAAGCUGAUAUGAAGCGUUACAACCGACGAUACCCGAAUGGGGAAACCCAGUGCAAUUCGUUGCACUAUUGCAUGGUGAAUACAUAGCCAUGCAAGGCGAACCGGGGGAACUGAAACAUCUAAGUACCCCGAGGAAAAGAAAUCAACCGAGAUUCCCCUAGUAGCGGCGAGCGAACGGGGAAGAGCCCAGAGUCUGAAUCAGUUUGUGUGUUAGUGGAAGCGUCUGGAAAGUCGCAGGGUACAGGGUGAUACUCCCGUACACAAAAACACACUUGCUGUGAACUCGAUGAGUAGGGCGGGACACGUGACAUCCUGUCUGAAUAUGGGGGGACCAUCCUCCAAGGCUAAAUACUCCUGACUGACCGAUAGUGAACCAGUACCGUGAGGGAAAGGCGAAAAGAACCCCGGCGAGGGGAGUGAAAUAGAACCUGAAACCGUGUACGUACAAGCAGUGGGAGCCUUGAUUUAUCAGGGUGACUGCGUACCUUUUGUAUAAUGGGUCAGCGACUUAUAUUUUGUAGCAAGGUUAACCGAAUAGGGGAGCCGUAGGGAAACCGAGUCUUAACUGGGCGUCUAGUUGCAAGGUAUAGACCCGAAACCCGGUGAUCUAGCCAUGGGCAGGUUGAAGGUUGGGUAACACUAACUGGAGGACCGAACCGACUAAUGUUGAAAAAUUAGCGGAUGACUUGUGGCUGGGGGUGAAAGGCCAAUCAAACCGGGAGAUAGCUGGUUCUCCCCGAAAGCUAUUUAGGUAGCGCCUCGUGAACUCAUCUUCGGGGGUAGAGCACUGUUUCGGCUAGGGGGUCAUCCCGACUUACCAAACCGAUGCAAACUCCGAAUACCGAAGAAUGUUAUCACGGGAGACACACGGCGGGUGCUAACGUCCGUCGUGAAGAGGGAAACAACCCAGACCGCCAGCUAAGGUCCCAAAGUCAUGGUUAAGUGGGAAACGAUGUGGGAAGGCAUAGACAGCCAGGAUGUUGGCUUAGAAGCAGCCAUCAUUUAAAGAAAGCGUAAUAGCUCACUGGUCGAGUCGGCCUGCGCGGAAGAUGUAACGGGGCUAAACCAUGCACCGAAGCUGCGGCAGCGACGCUUAGGCGUUGUUGGGUAGGGGAGCGUUCUGUAAGCCGUUGAAGGUGACCUGUGAGGGUUGCUGGAGGUAUCAGAAGUGCGAAUGCUGACAUAAGUAACGAUAAUGCGGGUGAAAAACCCGCACGCCGGAAGACCAAGGGUUCCUGUCCAACGUUAAUCGGGGCAGGGUGAGUCGACCCCUAAGGCGAGGCUGAAAAGCGUAGUCGAUGGGAAACAGGUUAAUAUUCCUGUACUUGGUGUUACUGCGAAGGGGGGACGGAGAAGGCUAGGCUAGCCGGGCGACGGUUGUCCCGGUUUAAGCAUGUAGGCGGAGCGACUUGGUAAAUCCGGUUGCUUAUCAACGCUGAGGUGUGAUGACGAGCCACUACGGUGGUGAAGUAGUUGAUGCCAAGCUUCCAGGAAAAGCCUCUAAGCAUCAGGUAACAUUAAAUCGUACCCCAAACCGACACAGGUGGUCAGGUAGAGAAUACUCAGGCGCUUGAGAGAACUCGGGUGAAGGAACUAGGCAAAAUGGUGCCGUAACUUCGGGAGAAGGCACGCUGGCAUUAGGUAAUGGGACUUGCUCCCGGCGCCGAAGCCAGUCGCAGAUACCAGCUGGCUGCAACUGUUUAAUAAAAACACAGCACUGUGCAAACACGAAAGUGGACGUAUACGGUGUGACGCCUGCCCGGUGCUGGAAGGUUAAUUGAUGGGGUCAGCCGCAAGGCGAAGCUCUUGAUCGAAGCCCCAGUAAACGGCGGCCGUAACUAUAACGGUCCUAAGGUAGCGAAAUUCCUUGUCGGGUAAGUUCCGACCUGCACGAAUGGCGUAAUGAUGGCCAGGCUGUCUCCACCCGAGACUCAGUGAAAUUGAACUCGCUGUGAAGAUGCAGUGUACCCGCGGCAAGACGGAAAGACCCCGUGAACCUUUACUAUAGCUUGACACUGAACAUUGAGCCUUGAUGUGUAGGAUAGGUGGGAGGCAUCGAAGCGUGGACGCCAGUCUGCGUGGAGCCAACCUUGAAAUACCACCCUUUAAUGUUUGAUGUUCUAACUCGGCCCCGUAAUCCGGGGUGAGGACAGUGUCUGGUGGGUAGUUUGACUGGGGCGGUCUCCUCCCAAAGAGUAACGGAGGAGCACGAAGGUUAGCUAAUCACGGUCGGACAUCGUGAGGUUAGUGCAAAGGCAUAAGCUAGCUUGACUGCGAGAGUGACGGCUCGAGCAGGUACGAAAGUAGGUCUUAGUGAUCCGGUGGUUCUGAAUGGAAGGGCCAUCGCUCAACGGAUAAAAGGUACUCCGGGGAUAACAGGCUGAUACCGCCCAAGAGUUCAUAUCGACGGCGGUGUUUGGCACCUCGAUGUCGGCUCAUCACAUCCUGGGGCUGAAGUAGGUCCCAAGGGUAUGGCUGUUCGCCAUUUAAAGUGGUACGCGAGCUGGGUUUAGAACGUCGUGAGACAGUUCGGUCCCUAUCUGCCGUGGGCGUUGGAAGAUUGAGAGGGGCUGCUCCUAGUACGAGAGGACCGGAGUGGACGAAUCACUGGUGUUCGGGUUGUCAUGCCAAUGGCAUUGCCCGGUAGCUAAAUUCGGAAGAGAUAACCGCUGAAAGCAUCUAAGCGGGAAACUUGCCUCGAGAUGAGUCUUCCCUGGGGCUUUAAGCCCCCUGAAGGAACGUUAAAGACUAUGACGUUGAUAGGCUGGGUGUGUAAGUGCAGCGAUGCAUUGAGCUAACCAGUACUAAUGAUCCGUGAGGCUUAACCUU